This 1361-nucleotide unclassified non-coding RNA is filed under the name Amphibalanus amphitrite. RNAcentral's name for it is "n-alpha-acetyltransferase 40-like, transcript variant X1". Lineage: Eukaryota; Metazoa; Arthropoda; Thecostraca; Balanomorpha; Balanidae. The record is from RNAcentral.
GUUGUCUUGUGGUGCUUGUGUGUGUUGAUGCUAAGGCACGUUUCUUUUUUAUUUGAUUGUGAUUUCAUUCUGCCAUACCCAGGGUCGAGUCCCGUGUCCAGCCUCCUGCAUCAUGGGCCGUGAGAGCGAGAAGGCACGUCAGCGGAAGCUGGCCCGCCGCGCGGAGAAGGAGCGCCUGGCUGCCUGUGGCGCCCUGGUGAAGCAGGCUAACGAGGUGCCCGACCUGAUGGCCGACCUGGCGGCGUUCCGACGGUACGAGCGGCGCGGCCUGGCCGUCACCAUCGAGCACCGCAACGUCGGCGACCUCAGCGCCGCAGAGGUGGACACCCUGCUGGCCAUCUGCCGCGAGAACAUGCAGAGCCUCUACGACGCCUGCGACUGGGGCUGGAACGACAAGGAGAAACGCUCCGAGAUGACCGAGAGCAUGGCCAAGUACCUGAUCGCGCGCAACGCAGAGGGGAAAAUUGUCGCGUUCUGUCAUUUCCGGUUCGAUCUGGAUUAUGACGAUGAUGUUUUGUAUUGCUACGAAAUACAGCUUACGAAGGCUUGCCGCCGAAGUGGAUUGGGUAAGUUUCUGAUGAUGAUCCUCGAGCUGAUGGCGUUCAAAAAGCAGAUGCUUUACGUGAGGCUAACAGUUCUAAAGCACAACGAAGGGGCGAAUGCGUUCUUCAAGGCCUGUGGCUACACCCGGGACAAGACUUGCCUGGAGGACACUAUUUACCAGACUCACUGCUACGAGAUCCUCAGCAAGAAGAACCCCAAAAAGGAGGACUCGAACCCGGACACCGUGCCCCAGCUGAGUGUCAGCAAGGCGCAGCAGCGGGUCAGCUCGUGAACACGCAGCACGAGCCGGCCGCCAUCGGCCAGACCGGCAUCAUCUCGUCGAUUUUCGUGUUGCUGUUUCAUUUCGAUGUCGUCGUGUGACUAGCAUCUCAGUGGAGCUCACGGCGUCGAUUGUAGUUAGAUAUUGUCAUCAGUGUCGCCGGCUGGAUUGCGAUGGUGUUUUGCAACAUCUGUGUCUUUGUGGUACCUUUACGUGACGAUGACGAUGUGUUGUGCUGUGUCACGCCCCUGUAGCGUGUCUUGUGGGGGAUGCUGGACUGGACUCGGUCUCUGGUUUUACCGACGAGUGGACCGCUUUUACUGACGCCAAAGCUUGGCCGAACUAGCCGUGAUCAGCACAUCACGAGCUGAAUUUCUUUCGUAUCGUGUUGUGACCGGACAUGUGGUAAUGCUCUCGGCUUAUGCUGUCGCUGUUUUGGGUCAGCCGCAUUUCAGCAAAAUAUCCUCACUUGCCCGUCACGUCACUGACUGAUUUUAGCUGUGUCCAUAACGUUUGUUAAUAAAACGCGAAGUGAAAA